This 488-nucleotide unclassified non-coding RNA is filed under the name Hevea brasiliensis (rubber tree). The record is from RNAcentral. Lineage: Eukaryota; Viridiplantae; Streptophyta; Magnoliopsida; Malpighiales; Euphorbiaceae.
AAAUCCUGCUAAAUCCAUUAUGUUUAUCUUCAUAAUGAAAUUGUUUUUCAAAUCAUUUUUGUUUAUGUGCAAAAUUAUAGACCAUAUUUCAAAAAAUAAAUGUUUGUAUAAAGUUUGAAAAUUUUACCAGAACAAAGAGGUAUUCAAUUAAUUGUUAACUUUUUAGUGAUUUUUGUAAUUAAAUGAAUGUUGUUAUAAAGAUCUGUAAUUACUGAGAAGUAUAAAAGAUUCAAUUUUAGAAGAAUAACCUCGAAAAAAAAAAAGCAACAUGAGAAGGAAAAAAAUGAAUAUCACAGAUUAGGAAACUAUUUUGACUUUUAAUUUUAUUAUUAUUAUUUCUUGAAUAUUAGCAUAAUAUUUAAGAUUUUAUUUUGAGCAUAUUUAUUAUUAUAUUUGCUAUUGCUAUUAUAGACAAAUUCUUUCUAAUAAUAUAUGGUCUUUUUUAAAUGCAAUUUUAAUGUAAAAAUAUUACAUUGUUACAUUCUUAU